GUCGACGUCCACACCACCCUGAACACCCCGACCUCGGUAGCUAAGGAAGGUAAGCAGGGUCGGGUCUGGUUUGUACUUGGAUGGCAGAAGUUAGAUAGAACC
This 102-nucleotide ribosomal RNA is filed under the name Microcebus murinus (gray mouse lemur). Lineage: Eukaryota; Metazoa; Chordata; Mammalia; Primates; Cheirogaleidae. The record is from RNAcentral.